UACAGAGGUCUCAAGCGUUGUUCGGAUUCAUUGGGCGUAAAGGGUGCGUAGGCGGCGCGGUAAGUCGGGUGUGAAAUCUCGGAGCUUAACUCCGAAACUGCAUUCGAUACUGCCGUGCUUGAGGACUGGAGAGGAGACUGGAAUUUACGGUGUAGCGGUGGAAUGCGUAGAGAUCGGGAAGAACACCAGUGGCGAAGGCGGCGCUCUGGGCUGCACCUGACGCUGAGAUGCGAAAGUGUGGGGAGCAAACGGG
RNAcentral lists this ribosomal RNA (253 nucleotides) under uncultured bacterium. RNAcentral's name for it is "partial 16S ribosomal RNA". It matches the Rfam family "Bacterial small subunit ribosomal RNA", at positions 524 to 776 of the family's 1533-position model. The record is from RNAcentral.